Molecule: transfer RNA, 74 nt
Filed under: compost metagenome
Description: tRNA-Trp
Rfam family: tRNA
About the family: Transfer RNA (tRNA) molecules are approximately 80 nucleotides in length. Their secondary structure includes four short double-helical elements and three loops (D, anti-codon, and T loops). Further hydrogen bonds mediate the characteristic L-shaped molecular structure. tRNAs have two regions of fundamental functional importance: the anti-codon, which is responsible for specific mRNA codon recognition, and the 3' end, to which the tRNAs corresponding amino acid is attached (by aminoacyl-tRNA synthetases). tRNAs cope with the degeneracy of the genetic code in two manners: having more than one tRNA (with a specific anti-codon) for a particular amino acid; and 'wobble' base-pairing, i.e. permitting non-standard base-pairing at the 3rd anti-codon position.
Source: RNAcentral
AGAGGAUUAGUUUAAUGGUAGAACAGCGGCUUCCAAACCCGUUAGUGGGGGUUCGAUUCCCUCAUCCUCUGCCA